AUCUGAAGAGAGGAAAAAGAGAGGUGAUGAUGAUGAUUAUAAUUAUAAUAAUAUAUAAUUAUGCCAAAAAUUGUAUGAUCGGUUCCAUUUUUGGCGGAAAAUUGAAGACCUUACAGUGACAAAAAGUUGCUCCAAGGCAGGACAAAGUUUCAGGAAGGAGAUCAAGGCGUCACUGUUAUAUCUUUCAGUAGGUCAGAACUUUGGAACUGUACUAAAAUAUGCAGAAACUACAAGACCAUACCUCAAAAGUCCAUCUGCAUAGUGUAAGAGUUUCGGCGUUUUUUAUGGUUAAUAGAGUUGCGUCGAAAUCACCACUGUUAAAGCUGAUAUCGCCGGGGCCUUGUCUGAAAUCUAGCAUGGCAUGUUUCAGGUUAAAGUGAUCUUCGGGCCACAGCCAAGGGAGCAGACCUCGAUACUUGAAAGACCUGAGUUUCGAGGAUCUCAUAUGGAGAGAUUUCAAUUGCGGACAAUCAAGGAUGGUCAAGCUCGAAAGCUUUGAACCGGCGUCAAUUUCCAAAGCUUCUAAUCCGUCGCAUUCAAUGAUUUUCAAGUUUUCAAGAAACUGAAAAUUCGAUACCAUAGAAGACACAGCCUCACUGGUAAGAGAGCUCACCGAUUUUAGAUGAAGCGUUUUGACGAAGGUGGCGGCCGUAGAAGAACUUGGCUGGUAGGUAAGGUUUUGGCGAUUCAGCUCCAACUGCCAACCAAACUGCUUUGAAAACCCUUGCUUCCCAGCAGAGAAAUCCAUAUAAAGUUUAUUAUUAGCUGCGAUGGUAGCCAAGAGAACGCCAUCUUUGCAGAAGUGAUAUCGAAGUUUCCGGGGUUGCCUCAAGGGAUCGCGCUCAUCAAAUUGAGUUAGGAAUCCAGAAAUUGCGGUGGCAGCCGCUUCUAUUGUUCCUCGUUGCACUAAAGCUGUGUUCCAAAGGUCUCUCCAUCGAGUAGAAAGGAAGCUGGUCUCCAGAGCAGAUUCACAAGGCAGAAACGCAAUGACGCGGCCAAGGAUCUCAUCCGGCUGGGACUGAAGCAGCCAAUGGGAUGAGAUAGCUUGGAUCCAAGUGGAGGUUCAAAGUUGGGAGUCAUGUGUGAUCCUUGCGGAUAGCGAACUGUCGUCUUCAUAGUUGAUGACAUGAACCAACGGUCAACUUCACAGUUCAUCAGCGGCAAUAUUUUGUGUCACAAGCUGUAUAUACAGCCAAUAUAUAUAAUAUUUGUUGAGUUUACUGCACUCCCUAUAUAUAUAUAUAUAUAUAUAUCAAGAGCUGAAGAUUUUUGUUUUUCCUUCACACUUGGGCAUGCAAGAUCUGAUUUCAUUGACUUCUAGCUGGCUUGCCAGAUUUGUAAAUGAAUUGCAAUGGAUUUUGGGAAGAUUUCUGCUGUGAAAUUAAAGACAA
Long non-coding RNA from Carya illinoinensis, 1391 nucleotides. RefSeq lists it as uncharacterized. The transcript has 3 exons. Lineage: Eukaryota; Viridiplantae; Streptophyta; Magnoliopsida; Fagales; Juglandaceae. The record is from RefSeq and is a predicted model, not a curated record.